This is a long non-coding RNA of Oxyura jamaicensis (ruddy duck), 217 nucleotides long. RefSeq lists it as uncharacterized. The record is from RefSeq and is a predicted model, not a curated record. The transcript is spliced from 3 exons. Lineage: Eukaryota; Metazoa; Chordata; Aves; Anseriformes; Anatidae.
GUGAUGAGAGAUCAAAAAACCUGAGCAGAUUUGGUGUGACUCUGAAACUCCUCUGAGCACUCCUAAAACAUUGUCCAGGUUUUCUGUCUCUACUUCUGCUCUCAAGUCACAGGGAAAGAUUUUCAAGAAGGCAGUUGAAUGUACUUGAAGGCAUUUCCAGGGAGCUUCCCUCUUGUCCAAGAAUACAUGACUGUGACAGAUACACAUUACUCUCCAG